This 391-nucleotide ribosomal RNA is filed under the name uncultured microorganism. Its description in RNAcentral is "bacterial SSU rRNA". It matches the Rfam family "Archaeal small subunit ribosomal RNA", at positions 330 to 728 of the family's 1478-position model. The record is from RNAcentral.
GCGCACCAGGCGCGUAACUUCGCAAUGCGCGAAGCGCGACGAGGGAUUCCAAGUGCAUGCACUAAGUGUAUGCUUUCGUGAGUUUAAACGCUCACGGAAUAAGGGCUGGGUAAGACUGGUGCCAGCCGCCGCGGUAAUACCAGCGGCCCUAGUGGUGAUCGUUAUUAUUGGGCCUAAAGCGUCCGUAGCCGGUCCGGUAAAUCUCUGGGUAAAUCGUUGGGCUUAACUCAGCGAAUUCUGGGGAGACUGCUGGACUUGGGACCGGGAGAGGUCGGAGGUACUCCAGGGGUAGGGUGAAAUCCUGUAAUCCUUGGGGGACCACCGGUGGCGAAGGCGUCCGACCAGAACGGGUCCGACGGUAAGGGACGAAGCCCCUGGGGCGCGAACCGGA